GCCCCGGUGGCUUAGUGGUAUAGCGUGUCACUAGUAAUGACAAGAUCAUCAGUUCGAUUCUGGUUCGGGGCA
This 72-nucleotide transfer RNA is filed under the name Ophiocordyceps unilateralis. It matches the Rfam family "tRNA". Rfam says of the family: Transfer RNA (tRNA) molecules are approximately 80 nucleotides in length. Lineage: Eukaryota; Fungi; Ascomycota; Sordariomycetes; Hypocreales; Ophiocordycipitaceae. RNAcentral also lists the same sequence under 5 other names. The record is from Rfam by way of RNAcentral.